Canis lupus familiaris (dog) is the source of this 7125-nucleotide long non-coding RNA. RefSeq lists it as uncharacterized. The record is from RefSeq and is a predicted model, not a curated record. NCBI's taxonomy places the organism in Eukaryota, Metazoa, Chordata, Mammalia, Carnivora, Canidae. The transcript has 5 exons.
CACUCAGUGAGAAAAUAUUUGUUUGUCUAAUUCCUCUUGUCAGACUGAGCUCCUCCAGGUUGAAACUGGAUCUUAUUCAUCUUUGUGUGGCACUCCCUAGAGACUAUUUAGGAUGAACCAUAUGGCAUUGCAUUUUUGUAGAUCAAAAACAGUCUAAUACUGGCAAUGCCAUAUGAGUCAACCUAACUGUUAGAUAAAGAGACCUAAGGGUCAUAUUCACUCAAUUAACUUUAACCUGUUCCCUCCUAACACUUUCUUCCCACCUCUAGCACCUGGUCAGAGGGUUAGACUUCCCUUUCACUGUCUGACCUUUUAGAUUCAUGCUUCUCUCUUUGAAGACUGACUUUGGUGUUCCCUUGAGCUUGAAAAUGUCUGGAUACUAAGCACAUGCUAUACUAGUGUCUCCUUGUGAUAAAAGGCCUCAUUAUGACCCAAAUUUCAAUUCCCAUUUCAUUUGAUGGACCUAAUAGGCUCCAGUUAAACAAAAUAGAUAUUUUUCAUUAGGGUGUUACAUAAAUUUUUUUCAUUCUCCCUUGCUCCCCAUUGCUCCCCUCUUUCCUUCUGUUUUCUCUUCCCCUUCUUUCCUCCCUUUCUCCCUCUCUCCUUUAACUCUUUUGUCUAUCCUUUUUUCCUCUCUUUCAUCCUUUCUUCCUUCUUUCCUCUUUUUCUUCUGUGUCAGGUAAUCCUUUACACUGGAGAGAAGAUACACCUGAAUGGACCAAUGGGAACAGCAAGGCUUAUAUCCCGAGUUCCCAGAGAGGACACCUGGAUUUUACAUAUUUCCUUCAGCACUUUAUGAUGCUGAGCAUCACACAGAAGCUAUGUUGAAUGGGAUUUAUGUGAAUUAAGCAGCUCUCAAGUUGAGGGUUCGGGAAAGCAACAAGAUUUCCCAGCUUUACUCCAAGAGUGUGGGCUUUUGUUCUUUUUGCUCUCUGACACACGUCAGCCACGGCCUACCAGGAUCUUUUCUCCCAAAACACUGAAUGUAACUUAAGGAGGCACUGCGCCUGUUUUCCUCAGUACCCCAGGCUGACAUUUCAAAAAGUACUUCUCAUCAUGCUUCUGCAGAAGGUCUGAAAAAGCAUUUGGGGCCUUAACAAAAUCAUCAGAUUGUCAGCAUGGAUGGUGGGAAUGGGUCAUUUCUUUUCCCUUUCCAACAACAGAGCAAGAAACCAACUGCCUUUGCACAUCAAACAAGCAGAAUCAAGUCUGAAGUUCAUCUCUUCACAGGAUUUGACAGGUCAGUUUGGUAAUCCAUGGUCAUAAAUGCUAUUAGAAUUCAUUGCAAACCACAAGAAAUGGCUGGUGUGAUCCAGGCCUCAUCUCACGGCAAAAGUCAGGCAAAGGCAAAUUCAGACCCCUUCGUCUUCAUGUGCCAGGGGGUGGGGGUUGGCAACCCAUGUGGGGUUUUCAGGGCAUUGGAUGGCCCUGCCCCACAGAAGAACUCUUCUCGUCUGUGAACCAUCUAUUCCCAUCAAUGUUAUGAUUAUGGCACAAUUCAUGUUUGGAGUCUUAUGAUUUAUUUCCUUCUCAGUGAAAAUGAGCUUAUUAGACCCUCUCCUCAGGAGAAGGAGGAAGCAAAGACCAUUGGGCAGGAAGAAUGGGAAACAAAAUCAUUAGGAAACAAGGUGCUGAGAUCGGAGACAAACUUUGACACCUGACACUUUUGCAUAAGAUCUGCCCCGGCACAAAUCUGCAUGUUGAGGUUAGCCAAUGUGAGUUAAGCAAGGACAAACAGGGCAAGAAUUACUCGCCCUUUUGUUAUUUCUGAAACCUGAACUGCUUUUAGAAAUAAAGGCUGGAAUGUUCCAUAGGAACUCAGAGCAUGGGACACAGGGGCAUGGCACACACUCCGUGUGGGCUAUUUAAAACCAGUUCCUUGGCUUCCCUCUGUGAUUCUAAAUACGUGUAAUCACAUUACCCCGCAGCAGCCGGUAACUAUUCCUAUACCACUGUCCAGCAUCUGCGCUUGUGAGACUGGUCCAUCACUGUAAAAAAAAAAAAAAAAAAAAAAAACAAACAAACCAAGUAGACGUGUUCUAACUGAUUGGGUGUUGCUCAAGCCAGGUUUUCUGUCACAGCUAACAUCUACUUACUGUUGGAAUAUUAGUAUGUAUUGACUGAUGCCUCUUCUUGAAUUUUAAGGACUCAUCUAUUUAACUAUCCUGGGGAGAAAGAAGUGCCUUAGCUCCUGAAAAGGAUGCCUUUUAAACGAGCCAUUUGUUUAUUUAAUAAGUGGACAACAUAAGCACAGUUAUCACUUUUCCAGAUACAACCAAUUUUUAUGCUGCGGAAGGAUCCCAGCAUUGGAGACUUUGCCUCUUUAUGUGCUAAAGACUCUUUUUUUGGAUUUGUUUGAUGUGCUAACAAUUCCCCUAAUCAUACCACUAGACCUCAAUAAGAUCAAUCCCUUAAGAAUAUUCUACUCAACUGUAUAUCACCCCCAGACAUUAGCUAGUAGAAAGACAUUAGCCAACAUUGUUACAUAAUGUCUGGACACCUGGUCAGGUUUAUGAUUUCAAUGAAAUAGGCCAGUUUUGGAAUUUCAUACAGAUAAAACAACAGAUUAAUGGACUCAAUAGAAUUUGUUUUUAGCUUUUCAACUUUACGUACAAAUUAAAAACCUAUCUUUCAUAAAAUGUGUAACCAUUUGUCAUACCUGACACCAAGCAUUUUAUCUACUUAAAUCUUAUUUAUCUCUGAAAACAACCCUUCAAUGUACUAUCACCUCCAUUUUACAGAUGAGGAGACUGAGGCUCAGAGGGACUUAGUCAUUUGCACAAGUUUUUAUGUCUAGUUUCUAGUGAGUGGUGAGGAUAGAUUUACACAGGUCUCUCCAAUUUCAAACCAUGCUGUAUGUCUCUGUAUAUAUAACCUCGAACAGCCAAAAUGGCCAAUUAGGGCAAAAAAACAAAAACAAAAACAAAACAAACUACAACCAACCAAAAAACCCCAAACAAAAAAUAAGCAAGUAAGAAACUUGGGUCCUGAAUCAUGCAGUUCAGAUAAUGAAAGCUCAGUUGAUCAACAAUUGGCUAAUUUCCUCCUGGAACCAUGUCACUACAACUCUAAUCUGUCGCCUGACACCUGAGUCCUGGAGGGGGGAACUUCUUGACCCUCACGUGGUCCAGCUCUAAGAACUAGCACUCCAAUGGCCAAACAUUACACAUCAGAACAAAUUAUACAUGUGAUAUUGUGCCUGUGGAGAAAUCCGAUUUCUUAGUUAAAUAUUGUUUUUUGACUAUUUUGAGACAUAGCUGGAAUAUGUGGUUCCCUCGUGGCUAACUCAAAACACACAGCAAAGACUAAUCCUUUGCACUAUCCUAUAUUAAUAUUUUCUUUCCCUCCUUGUAAGGGGACCAGUUAUAAAUUAUGGGAGAUCAGAAAACAGCCUCACGAGAGUUAAUAUAUUAAGGAGUUACCUAGAAAGAACCCGGAUUUGUUUUUCCCCACAUGGUAAAUCAUACAGAGUAGCAGCCUGCCCCAGAUCCCCGGGAGACAACAUCUUGAGCGCAUAUGUUAUGCAGGGUUCUGUAUCGACUAAUUCAAAAACUCCAGGGCAAAAUAAGCAAAGUUCCCAAGUCAAAAAUGAAAGUAAAAUAGUGGCAUGGAAUGGGGAUCAUUGUUGCAAACAUUCCAACAACUUCAUAAAUAGCCAUUAAAGUAGACAGCAUUACAGGUUAGCAAAUUUACCAUUGCAAGAAUCAACCUGCACUGUCCGUGUCAAGUCGCAAACAAACCCAGCUACCUCUGACUUUACUAAUCAUCUUUUUCUUUCCAGAAAUACAAUCACAUUUGACAAAAUUAAUAUUGAGAUCGUUUUACUAGAGGGCUUAUCCAAAUAUAUGCUAUAUUAAAAAUAGUCAUGAUAUAAAUAUUUCUCACAAGAGCUGCAGCGAUGGUGUGAAUAAAAAACUCCCUUCUGAGAUUUCAGUAAAACCAGAUCUCACAAAGGAUCUGAAAGAAAACAAACAAAAAACAAACAGACGUACACAAAGAGACACACACACAGAACAAACCUUAUGUUAAUCUGGUUUAGCAAAACAGUCACUAUUUCGACACUAUUUUAUGAAGUACGAUACUGUUCCUUCCCAGAUGAAGUAGGAGAGAUGAAUCUGCUACAGGUUUCUCAUAAUAAUGGUCAGGGGUGGGGGGCAUCUAAGCAUGUUCCAUAGCAGCUAAUCAAAAUCCAAAUUUCCAAAUGCAGCAAAAUGUUAGCACUGUCAAAUGGCCAAGCACGCAAGAGGAAUCUCUCUCUCCAUGCCCUCCUACUGAUACAUACAAAGCCCCAAAUACAUCAGCUGGAAUUUUUAAAUCGUAAAUUAGAUAUCAAAAUGCUUACGGGCCUUACAAUGAGAUAACAUCAGGAGGAACGGUGCGUGGAAUGGAUCUGGCAUUCUCACAUAAAGCAUUAUCUUUGGUACAAGUACACACGGCAGGGCAUUUUGGCUUCGCUGGUUUCUUCCCCUCAGUCAGCAAAAGCGCAGAUAAGAGACAUAGGAAAUAAGCAAUUCUUUUCAGGGGGAUGCAGGCAUUUCCCAUCCUUUGGCUUCUCUCUGAUUCCAUGCAGUCGAAAAAAUAUCCCCGAACAUGAACAGGGCUUCUGGAAUUCAGCUGGUGAUUGUCUUGCUCUGAGACCAGGUCACACAGGAGUCCACCCUUUUCCUCUGCCUCUGUAUCUCUGCUUUUCAAAACGGGGACCUGCAGCUGAUUCGUGAGCUGCUCUUGGCUCCAGCAACGCACUGCUCGGGAAGAGACCUGUGAGGUGCUGGCGAUGGGAGGGACCCAAGUGCUGGAGGAGAGAGCCGACUUGCAUCACCACGAGAACGCGGCGCGCAGACCAGCCUUCGAAGGCAAACAUUUGGCUAAAACCUUGGUAUUUCGUGCUGAAUCCACCUGAUCGGUGCCAUCGUUGAAAGACAAAUAGGAGCACAUGGAGAAGGGGACUUGCAGGGAAUGAAUGCUGUAAGCUUCUGGAGGAUAGAGACCCUGAAGUGAAUCCAGUGCCUGGAUGGCGUGGUGCACACAGUGGGCAAACAGUGUGCCUUGUAGAGCAACAAUGGAGCCUGUAGGCUAUUCGUGACCAGAACUUGCUCAUCCAAAGAAACUUCACAUCACAUCUCCCAGUUAGAAUACAGGACUUUGAUUUCAUCAAGGGGGUCAGAGGACAGUUCUCUGAAGUGAUGAUUGAGCUGAGUUCUCAGAUAAAGGGAAAUGAAAGAGAGAGCAGGAACCUUCCAGGUGGGGCAAAUAGACACACAAGGGCCUGGCCUCAACCCUGAGGACAGUGUUUUAGGCAAUGAGUGAUAUAAUCUGUUGUAUUUUGACAAAAAAGGAAAAAAACCUCAAUCUAAGAGAAGUAAUGAUUUUAGAAUAAGUUCUACUAAUGUUUCACUGCCAGAGUCUUUGUGGAGAGAGGAUUGAUAGUGUUUUUAUUUUUAUUUAAAUUUUUAUUUAUUUAUGAUAGUCAGAGAGAGAGGGAGGGGUAGAGACACAGGCAGAGGGAGAAGCAGGCUCCAUGCACCGGGAGCCCGAUGUGGGAUUCGAUCCCGGGUCUCCAGGAUCGGGCCCUGGGCCAAAGGCAGGCGCCCAACCGCUGCGCCACCCAGGGAUCUCCUGAUAGUGUUUUUAGAAACCGUGACCCACAGGCAAGCCCCACUUGAAAUGGUAAAAGUGUCACUUAAAAGUGGGCUGCAAGCCAGAUUUCUGUAAAUUGAAUCCCGUUUCAAGUGCACAGUGGAAACUUGCUCCAUAAAAUAAUUACGUGGUAAAAAUUUUAUAGAGGAUUGUUUUUAUUCUAACCAUCCAUUCCCUAACUUACCUGACUUUUAAAUGAUGCAUUUUGUACGUAUAAAAUAAAGAUCCCAAGAACUUUCGGGGACCUCAGAAUUCUCAGAUCCAAUCCCCAAAAUGUUACAGAUGGGGAAAGUGAAUUCCUGAGAGGUCAUACAGAUGAUCGGGAGCAGAGCUGCCACUGUGUAUGGGGUGACAUUCUCACAGAUACUUGGUUAAACAGAUAAUUCACUCCCUAUGUUUCACUUUCAAAUGUAUCAAAUUAUCAAGAUUGCUUGAUCAGCCCUUGGCUUUGCACUCCGUAGACUGGUCAAAGAAAAUGUGAGCAGUCUUUCAUCUAUGACUUGACUAAGCCAGAAGGGCAAAUGAAUGAGGGAAAGAAAUCAUAUCCAUAACUUCACUUUGCAGCUGUAUUUAUCUGGUGGCUCAGUUUGUCCGUUCAAGUGGAAAAAGGACCAUGGGGAGGGGAGUGGGGGACUCUAAGGACAAAUUACAAUGGGCAUUCUGAAAAGACAGUAACUUUUUCUUUUUCUAUGGCAUUUAAAACCCAGACUUGAAUUCCCUAUUGAAUUAAAACACCCACUAACCCACGAAGAUCAGGCAAAAUUUUAACCGUGUAAUGUGGAAUGCUGAUGGCUUUUUCAGGGAGGAGAAACUGCCAGGCUCCAGAAUUGGAUCUGAGGAGGGGCCUGGGAAGAGCAGUUUGCCAUAUUGAAGUCUUGAGGGACCUGGAGAGGGGACUCUUAGUGCUGAUGAGACUUCCCUUCCCCACAACUCCUCCUCCUCCAGGAAGCCCUGGGAGGGCACAGAGAGGACGUGGGAGUUGGGAGGGUGGAAGCUUAGGGGCUUCCACCAAACUGGAAACCUUUAGAUAAGGUUUGACAACCUGUGGAUCACAGUGGGGGCCCUUGAGAGAGUGGCCUAGAAAGGACCAAAGAGAGCUGGAAGGAGGCCCAGGGAGGCUGUGAGGCUUGGCUGCAGAAGGGUGGAUGCACAGGCCCAGCUGUAGAGGAGUAGCCGAGUGGGUCCAGGGCUGGCUCUGUGCUUUGCCAGCCAUGUGACCGCAGUCUACAAUGUAACCUUUCUAAGCCUUGGUUUUCUCCUCUGUAUCAUGAGUAUAAUAGUAAUACAUGUCACAUAGAAUUGUUGACAGAAUUAAAUGUAUCUAAAGUGUUAACCUGGGAUCUGAUACUGGGGAAGAUUUGUUAAUCAUCAUCAUCAUCACUGCAACAAGACUUGAACUCCGAACAUGUGACUCUUGAUACCUGGGAAGCAAAGCUCUCAAAUAAAAAUGGGUUUCUCUUAAGUCUGUAUUCACUCUAGGGAGCAGGC